AGUCGAACGGAAAGGCCUCUUCGGAGGUACUCGAGUGGCGAACGGGUGAGUAACACGUGGGUGAUCUGCCCUGCACUCUGGGAUAAGCCUGGGAAACUGGGUCUAAUACCGGAUAGGACCAUGCUUUAUUGUGUGUGGUGGAAAGUUUUUUCGGUGUAGGAUGAGCCCGCGGCCUAUCAGCUUGUUGGUGGGGUAAUGGCCUACCAAGGCGGCGACGGGUAGCCGGACUGAGAGGUUGGUCGGCCACAUUGGGACUGAGAUACGGCCCAGACUCCUACGGGAGGCAGCAGUGGGGAAUAUUGCACAAUGGGCGCAAGCCUGAUGCAGCGACGCCGCGUGGGGGAUGACGGCCUUCGGGUUGUAAACUCCUUUCGCCAGGGACGAAGCGUUUUGUGACGGUACCUGGAGAAGAAGCACCGGCUAACUACGUGCCAGCAGCCGCGGUAAUACGUAGGGUGCAAGCGUUGUCCGGAAUUACUGGGCGUAAAGAGCUCGUAGGUGGUUUGUCACGUCGUCUGUGAAAUUCCACAGCUUAACUGUGGGCGUGCAGGCGAUACGGGCUGACUUGAGUACUGUAGGGGUAACUGGAAUUCCUGGUGUAGCGGUGAAAUGCGCAGAUAUCAGGAGGACACCGAUGGCGAAGGCAGGUUAC
This 652-nucleotide ribosomal RNA is filed under the name uncultured Actinomycetales bacterium. RNAcentral's name for it is "bacterial SSU rRNA". It matches the Rfam family "Bacterial small subunit ribosomal RNA", at positions 60 to 729 of the family's 1533-position model. The record is from RNAcentral. Lineage: Bacteria; Bacillati; Actinomycetota; Actinomycetes; Actinomycetales.